GCAUGCAAGUCGAGGGAGAACCCGCAAGGGGGACACCGGCGAACGGGGUAGGAUCACGUAGGUGACGUACCCCCAGGGCGAGGAUAGCCACGGGAAACUGUGGGUAAUACUCGAUAACCUUCCCGAUCAUGAUCGAAUGGGAAGCAAUGGGUGUGAUUCCACCUGGGGAGCGGCUUACGCAGUAUCAGCUAGUUGGUGAGGUAACGGCUCACCAAGGCUUUGACGCUUAGGGGGUGUGAGAGCAUGGCCCCCACCACUGGCACUGAGACACUGGCCAGACACCUACGGGUGGCUGCAGUCGAGAAUCUUCGGCAAUGGACGAAAGUCUGACCGAGCGACGCCGCGUGCGGGAUGAAGGUCUUCGGAUUGUAAACCGCUGUCAGAGGGGAUGAAGUAUACGAGAGCAAUCUCUGGUAUUUGACAGAGCCUCAGAGGAAGCACGGGCUAAGUUCGUGCCAGCAGCCGCGGUAAUACGAACUGUGCGAACGUUAUUCGGAAUCACUGGGCUUAAAGGGUGCGUAGGCGGUUUUCUAAGUCGCGUGUGAAAUCUUCUGGCUCAACCAGAAA
Molecule: ribosomal RNA, 567 nt
Filed under: metal-contaminated soil clone K20-52
Lineage: Bacteria; Pseudomonadati; Planctomycetota; Planctomycetia; Planctomycetales
Description: bacterial SSU rRNA
Rfam family: Bacterial small subunit ribosomal RNA
Source: RNAcentral